AUUAUUGGGCGUAAGGGCUCGCAGGCGGUUUCUUAAGUCUGAUGUGAAAGCCCCCGGCUCAACCGGGGAGGGUCAUUGGAAACUGGGGAACUUGAGUGCAGAAGAGGAGAGUGGAAUUCCACGUGUAGCGGUGAAAUGCGUAGAGAUGUGGAGGAACACCAGUGGCGAAGGCGACUCUCUGGUCUGUAACUGACGCUGAGGAGCGAAAGCGUGGGGAGCGAACAGGAUUAGAUACCCUGGUAGUCCACGCCGUAAACGAUGAGUGCUAAGUGUUAGGGGGUUUCCGCCCCUUAGUGCUGCAGCUAACGCAUUAAGCACUCCGCCUGGGGAGUACGGUCGCAAGACUGAAACUCAAAGGAAUUGACGGGGGCCCGCACAAGCGGUGGAGCAUGUGGUUUAAUUCGAAGCAACGCGAAGAACCUUACCAGGUCUUGACAUCCUCUGAGGAUCCUAGAGAUAGGACGUCCCCUUCGGGGGCAGAGUGACAGGUGGUGCAUGGUUGUCGUCAGCUCGUGUCGUGAGAUGUUGGGUUAAGUCCCGCAACGAGCGCAACCCUUGAUCUUAGUUGCCAGCAUUCAGUUGGGCACUCUAAGGUGACUGCCGGUGACAAACCGGAGGAAGGUGGGGAUGACGUCAAAUCAUCAUGCCCCUUAUGACCUGGGCUACACACGUGCUACAAUGGACAGA
RNAcentral lists this ribosomal RNA (687 nucleotides) under Bacillus subtilis. Its description in RNAcentral is "bacterial SSU rRNA". It matches the Rfam family "Bacterial small subunit ribosomal RNA", at positions 550 to 1238 of the family's 1533-position model. Lineage: Bacteria; Bacillati; Bacillota; Bacilli; Caryophanales; Bacillaceae. The record is from RNAcentral.